AGAGUUUGAUCAUGGCUCAGGAUGAACGCUGGCGGCGUGCUUAACACAUGCAAGUCGAACGGGAUCUUCGGAUCCAGUGGCGGACGGGUGAGUAACGCGUGGGAAUCUGCCUCCGGGAGGGGGAUAACAUCCGGAAACGGUUGCUAAUACCCCAUAUGCCCUUGGGUGAAACGAAUUUCGCCCGGAGAUGAGCCCGCGUCUGAUUAGCUGGUUGGUGGGGUAACGGCCCACCAAGGCGACGAUCAGUAGCUGGUCUGAGAGGAUGAUCAGCCACACUGGGACUGAGACACGGCCCAGACUCCUACGGGAGGCAGCAGUGGGGAAUUUUCCGCAAUGGGCGCAAGCCUGACGGAGCAACGCCGCGUGGGUGACGACGGCCUACUGGUUGUAAAACCCUUUUGUCGGGGACGAACGCAAUGACGGUACCCGGCGAAUAAGCAUCGGCUAACUCCGUGCCAGCAGCCGCGGUAAUAC
This 474-nucleotide ribosomal RNA is filed under the name uncultured bacterium. Its description in RNAcentral is "bacterial SSU rRNA". It matches the Rfam family "Bacterial small subunit ribosomal RNA", at positions 8 to 526 of the family's 1533-position model. The record is from RNAcentral.